UCUGAUUCCAGGUAGAAUGUUAGUUAUUGGGUUUGCUGAUCAUCUUCUUGACACGAUAAAUUUUGAACUUCUGACAUGUUUGUAUUUUUUAUAAAAUGUCUUUUAUAAAAUGUCUGAUUUCUUUUUCUUUUUAUUGGUCGUGUUUUCUGGAGGAAAGGAAAGUUAUAUAGUGUAGUAGGGCUAGUAGAUAAUCUUCUUUUUUGGUGAAUAAAUAAUUUAGUGUAGUAUUACUUAUUGAUAAUUUGAUGAAUAAAUAAUAUGUUGGAAGUCCCUGUGGUAGCUCAUAGUUCUUUUUAAACGAACUAAAACCCUAAACCUCUCGCUGCGACGUUUACCUCUCGCUGCGGCGUUUUCCUCGGUGAACGGCGGCUGCCGCGUCUUCCUCUCCAUCGGCGAAACAGCGUCUCCGCCCCCCCGAGUGGGAUUACCAAGCAGUAGGGAGUUAUUUGAUGCUAAAUUGGAGAAUAAAACUUACAGGAUUAUUACUCGAGUUUAGGAAAGAUUCCCAAAAAACAUUGCUACCAGUUGUCCAAAAGCCUGAUGGGAAGAAAAAUUUGAUGGUUUGUGAUCAGAUUUCUAUAAACAAUUUCUGCUGCUAAAUAGAUCUCUAGGUCUUUGUUUAUCUGUUAUAUCUCCUCUGACUACUCUAUGUUAUAUUUGAUAUUACUGAUUCUGAGGUAUCAAAUUUAGUUUAAUAUUUAAAUUUUUAAGAAGAAUGGAGUGAUUUGCUUAAUAAAGCUCCAACAAGUCACAUAUGUAGUACCUGGUACUGAAGACUUUGACCACACUGAUAUCUCUGAAUUUGUUCAGAAAGCUCCGGGUCUCUUAGUAAGUUUCAGAAAAUUAGAACUUGGAGAUAGUGACAGUGACAGCUGAGGAAUUAGCUGUGGUACCUAUUUUGCAGAAUCAACUUUCCAUGCUUGAACACUGCUAAUCUUUCAUUUUCUUCAGAUUAUAUAUGACAGCAAGGAAUCUCUUGAAAGCUACUGUUCCCAUCUCUUGUUGUCUAGACCUGACAUAUAUUUUAAUGUGGUUGAUGGCAAGGGAUAUUCUUCUCUAUACGGUCUUCGAUGACGAUGGCUUGAUUUAGCUUGCUUCCAUCCUUAUUGUCAUUGUUCCGUCGUAAGUUCUUGAUCCUUGGUCCAAAGAUGGUUUGGUACAGGGAUUCUUUGGGAAAGAUUCUUUUGGUCUAUUUUGUGAUCGCCCCUUCCUCGACGAUGGUGGAAAACUUGCCGUAGACACCAUCAUCAGCAUAGAUUCCUUGGUAGAGGCUAAAAAUGAAGGUGCCGAUUGACAAGGAGGGUUUUCUAUAGUUGCAUCGAUGGUGAUCUCAUGUUUUUGCUUGUUUCCUAUCCUAUGGUGGCCAUUCUAUUGCAAAUUCUUGAUCCUUGGUGCAGAGAAGUGUCAGUUCAAGGAUUCUUUUGAAUAGAUUCUUUUGGUCACAGAUUUUCAUAGCAAGCUCUGCUGCUGCCUAGCUUGCAAUGAAGAUGGCAAUUGACAAGGAGGUUUUUUUUCUCUCAUUAGGCCGGUGAUGCUUUGUCUUUCUUCCAGCCCUUUCAUUGCUGUUUGAUCACAGAUUCUUGAUCUUUUGGUCCAGAGGAGAAGAGUUGGUAGGUUGGUUCUUUGGGACAUGGAGUGUUCCUUUGCCACAUGAUGGAUUUCUGCCCAUUGGCGAGGAAAUCUUUUGUCAAUUGCAUAAUUGCGUUGAUAAAGGAAACUGAGGUGUAGUAGAUUAUUUGGUCAUAGUGUGUUGCUAUGAUCCUGCUGUUUGUGCUUCUUAUGGAAUGAAGAAGAGAUAAUUGGAUUGGUUGCCGAUAAGUGGCUGAGAAAGUUUAUUCAUUAGUGUUUGAUAAAUCCAGCUAAUCUGUUUGUAAUAUUAUGAUCAGCUUAGUGAGUGUGGGAAGUUCUUUAUGGCAAGCCAAGGCAGGCACUGACCCCAGCCAGUAAAUGAAUGUGAUAUUUAUUCAGAGUGGGAUUACCAAGCAGUAGGGAGAUAUUUGAUGCUAAAUUGGAGAAGAAAACUUACAGGAUUAUUACUCGAGUUUAGGAAAGAUUCCCAAAAAACAUUGCUACCAGUUGUCCAAAAGCCUGACGGGAAGAAAAAUUGGAUGGUUUGUGAUCAGAUUCCUAUAAACAAUUUCAGCUGCUAAAUAGAUCUCUAGGUCUUUGUUUAUCUUUUAUAUCUCCUCUGACUACUCUAUGUUAUAUUUGAUAUUACUGAUUCUGAGGUAUCAAAUUUAGUUUAGUAUUUAAUUUUUAAAGAAUAAUGGUGUGAUUUGCUUAAUAAAGCUCCAACAAGUCACAUAUGUAGUACCUGGUAUUGAAGACUUUGACCACACUGAUAUCUAUGAAUUUGUUCAGAAAGCUCAGGGUCUCUUAGUAAGUUUCAGAAAAUUAGAACUUGGAGACAGUGACAGUGACAGCUGAGGAAUUAGCUGUGGUACCUAUUUUGCAGAAUCAACUUUCCAUGAUUGAACACUGCUCAUCUUUCAUUUUCUUAAGAUUAUAUAUGGCAGCAAGGAAUCUCUUGAAAGCUACUGUUCCCUUCUUUUGUUGUCUAGAGAUGACAUUUUAAUAUGAUUGAUGGCAAGGGAUAUUCUUCUCUUUAUGAACCACGACCAAGCAUUAAGGGUCAAUACGAGGAUUCUUUAGGAAAGAUUCUUUUGGUCAAUUUUCGUGGCUGCCCAACCACUUACUCGAUGGAGGUGACAGGCUAUUUUUCAUGGAUGAGGUGGAGGUGGGUUUUCUCUCAUUGCAUCGGUCUUCGAUGACGAUGGCAUGCUUUUGCUUGCUUCCAUCCUUAUUGUCAUCGUUCCGUCGUAAGUUCUUGAUCCUUGGUCCAAAGAUGGUUCGGUACAGGGAUUCUUUGGGAAAGAUUCUUUUGGUCUAUUUCAUAACCGCCCCUUCCUCGACGAUGGUGAUCUCAUGCUUUUGCUUGUUUCUUAUCCUAUGGUGGCCAUUCUAUCGCAAAUUCUUGAUCCUUGGUGCAGAGAAGUGUUGGUUCACAGAUUCUUUUGAAUAGAUUCUUUUGGUCACAGAUUUUCACAGCAAGCUCUGCUGCUGCCUAGCUUGCAAUGAAGAUGGCAAUUGACGAGGAGGUUUUUUCUCUCAUUAGGCCGGUGAUGCUUUGUCUUUCUUCCAGCCCUAUCAUUGCUGUUUGAUCACAGAUUCUUGAUCUCUUGGUCCAGAGGAGAAGAGUUGGUAGGUUGGUUCUUGGGGACAUGGAGUGUUCCUUUGCCACUUGAUGGAUUUCUGACCAUUGGCGAGGAAACCUUCUGUCAAUGGCAUAAUUGCGUUGAUAAAGGAACCUGAGGUGUAGUAGAUUAUUUGGUCAUAGUGUGUUGCUAUGAUCGUGCUGUUUGUGCUUCUUAUGGAUGAAGAAGAGAUAAUUGGAUUGGUUGCCGAUAAGUGGCUGAGAAAGUUUAUUCAUUAGUGUUUGAUAAAUCCAGCUAAUCUGUUUGUAAUAUUAUGAUCAGCUUAGUGAGUGUGGGAAGUUCUUUAUGGCAAGCCAAGGCAGACACCGACCACAGCCAGUAAAUGAAUGUGAUAUUUAUUCAGGAUCAAAUGACAAGGAUGGGCUCUGGUAUUUAUUAGCAUCAAUGUCAUCGUAGAAGGAGGUGGCAUCUUUUAUUACAAUAUGCAGUAAGCCAGCUCUGUUAUGAACAAAGACCUUGUCCUCUCCAAAUUGCAAAAGUGUAUAAUUUGGUCCAUCGACUAGUUAUGAAGAAUGGUAUGGAGGUUGCAAUGAAAAUACAGUACCCCCUGGUGUUGCAGAUAGCAUAGAAAGUGACAUCCAGAAUCAGUUUAAUUUUAGACUACACAAAUCUCAAUCCUAACGGAAUUUUUCUUGAUUACACUAGAAAGGGCUACCGACACAAGGCAGCAUCCUCGGACAAAUCGCCACAGAAGCUGCAUCGUCAAACAUGGCAAAUUUCCUCCAAACUUGAUUGUCACAUGUUCUCUUUGUUGUUGAUAUUGACAUGGUCGUUGUGGUGGUUCCACCUCA
Long non-coding RNA from Musa acuminata AAA Group (dessert banana), 4006 nucleotides. RefSeq lists it as uncharacterized. The record is from RefSeq and is a predicted model, not a curated record. Lineage: Eukaryota; Viridiplantae; Streptophyta; Magnoliopsida; Zingiberales; Musaceae. The transcript is spliced from 6 exons.